AGAAAUGCAAAAGAUGGAAUAAAAACCCUGAUCAUUAAAACAGAGACACCUUCACUGGUGUCCAAUAAGGAUUCUCUUUACAAAACAGAAACAAACAACUCAAAAAUUUACCAUACUUUGUAAUGAAAAUACCAGUACGUUGAAGACACAGCAGACUGGGUUUCUAUUAGAGCAAGUAUCAGCAAGGUCAUGUAGACUUGUAGAAACUUUUGCCUUCUCCUGCAUCAGACAGAUCAUUGUCCAGUUGGGUUGUCAGCUGGAGACUGAUAAGAACCUAAAAAAUGGAUCUUCUUUUUUUUCUUUUUCCCAUGGUCACACAUCCACACAAAUGAGUUUUUUGGAUGAGAAAAGUCACAGCAACUUGAGUUCUCCUGAUGAAUAGAUGACUUUUUAGCCCUGUUUGUUUCAAUGGGGAAAACAAUGACAAAAAAACAAACCCCAGGCAGGCACGACACUUAUGUAAAAUGAACACAGUUAGUACAAAACCAGUAAGGCAUCACUUUGGGAAGGUCAGCACCGAAGAGGUCAGGCAAGGCUCGUCCAGACGGGGCUUCUGGGAGGGAGUGACCCUCACCCUUGUUGAGCUGCGUCAUGUUGGUUCUGAGGAAAGUGCAAGUCUUUUGCGGGGUGACCGCAUCACCCCACCGGAAGUUGGGGCGGGGACGCUGGAGGUGUUGGUGUGUGUUCUAAACCCUCAAGGACGAGAAGGGAAGGCAAGGUCCAUGGCUCACCCACAUGUCGAGGACCAGGUCCUCAUCCAUUUUAAAGGACACAGAUACCCCCAGCCCUAGCAGGAGGAGGCGAGUGUGUAGGACUGUGAGGAUGGACAACUAAAAACCAAAACUGAGCAGGACCAAACCAAAACUCAACUCCUGCGGUUCUUACUUUCACCAAAGGAUUGAUUCUGACCAAGAGGGGAAGGGGGAAAAAAAAUCUUCAAAAAUCAAUGCAUCAGAAAGGAAGAAACUCAACCUCAUUUUCAAAAGGUAAUCUGUUCUCCAAAGUAGAACAAGUCUCACUCUACACAGUGUUUGCAGAAAAAAAAAACCUGAUUCAUUCAUAUAUCAGAAGGAAACAGACACAUGCUGUUCUGCACUGACAGCCACAUCCACCGGCUCACACUCUCACUCCGUCACUCACUCUCACGGAUAUUAAUCAGAGGCUGAUGGACCCGAAUGGGGUGGUUCGAUUGGAACAGGCAAAAUACCUCUCGGGUAAGGAAAGCACCAUUUAAAAAACAUGAAAGCACGGUUUAUUUUCUCCUAAGGUUUCCCUGUGUCGUAGCUCUGUAGUGCGUUGAACGUGACCAAAGCAAGCACCCUGGUUAGCACCAGUUCUCCCUGUGGCCGGCUGUGCGGGAGGGUGGGUGGCGUGGCUCUGAGACCCAGUCUGGAGGGUCUGUGCUGAGGGGAAGCCAUGCUUCUCUGUUUCCGACUUUGCUCCA
This 1444-nucleotide long non-coding RNA is filed under the name Pongo abelii (Sumatran orangutan). RNAcentral's name for it is "lncRNA (ENSPPYG00000033110.1)". The record is from RNAcentral. Lineage: Eukaryota; Metazoa; Chordata; Mammalia; Primates; Hominidae.